RNAcentral lists this ribosomal RNA (328 nucleotides) under uncultured eukaryote. Its description in RNAcentral is "partial 18S ribosomal RNA". It matches the Rfam family "Eukaryotic small subunit ribosomal RNA", at positions 1470 to 1796 of the family's 1831-position model. The record is from RNAcentral.
CCCUUAGAUGUCCUGGGCCGCACGCGCGUUACACUGAUGCAUUCAACGAGCUUAUAACCUUGGCCGAGAGGCCCGGGCAAUCUUGUUAACGUGCAUCGUGAUAGGGAUAGAUUAUUGAAAUUAUUAAUCUUGAACGAGGAAUUCCUAGUAAACGCAGAUCAUCAAUCUGCAUUGAUUACGUCCCUGCCCUUUGUACACACCGCCCGUCGCACCUACCGAUUGGAUGGUCCGGUGAAGCCUCGGGAUUGUGGUUCUUGCCGCUUUAUUGUGGCGUGACCGCAAGAACUUGUCUAAACCUUAUCAUCUAGAGGAAGGUGAAGUCGUAACA